RNAcentral lists this long non-coding RNA (3093 nucleotides) under Triticum aestivum (bread wheat). RNAcentral's name for it is "long non-coding RNA (TAES_LNC012022)". The record is from RNAcentral. Lineage: Eukaryota; Viridiplantae; Streptophyta; Magnoliopsida; Poales; Poaceae.
AAAUAAACAACUAACACCUGUAUGUCCAAAACCUUCCACCCCUACAACUGUAUGUUUUGUAUUUGAAAGAAAACUGUUCGGGCUAAUCUCUGACCCGGUUCACCUGCACGCAGCUCUCCUAUUCCAAUUGAAAUAGGACGAUCCACAGGUCAGCAAUACUCCUAUUCCAAUUCAUUAAAAAAAAGACUCCUACUCCAAUUGUUCGCUCUCUUCACCUCUUGCAUGAGCAAAUUAGGAGGAUCUUUCUUCAUCUACAAAAGAGACAGAUCAAUAGCAAACUGUAAAUUUGGGAAACUAUAUGAACUUUGCAAGCUACAUGUAGCAAUUAAAAUGACAUGAACAUGGAAAUUACACUAAAAUUCUGACAUGGUUUACAUGUAAGCGGGUAAAAACAGUGUAAAUAGAAGACAUAUCAACAACAUCUGUAAAUCUGGGAAAUUACAUAACCUUCGCAUGCUACAUGUAGCAGGAAAUUACUCUAAAAUAUUGAGGUAGUUCCAAUGUAAAAUCUAGGGUAAUUUUCAGAAACAUUCAGUAGCAGAAACUAAUGACAAUGCAAGUAAAAACGGAUGACACUAAAAAUACCCAAGAGUUACACUGAAAGUGACCAAGAUUUACAGUGUAAAUCCCCCUAUAAAUUACAUAGUACAUACACGGUAAUUACACUGCAAGCACACAAGGAAUUACACCUGUAAAAACUGAUGAGAUUACACAAAAUUACAGUGUAAGUGAGCAGGAAUUACAUUGUGAAACCCAAGAAUCCAAAGCUUGUAAUUACAGUGCAAGUGACCAAGAAUUACAUUGUAAAACCUCUAUAAAAUACAAUAUACAUACAAUGUAAUUACACAGCAAGUACCCAUGGCUUACACUGUAAUACCCAUGCUUUACGGUGAAAGUGCUUACAGUGCAAUACCCUCAAAGAAUACAGAAAAAAUACACAGGGAAUUAGAAUGAAAUUAUGCAGGGAUUUGCAGUGAUGAAGCUAUGCGGUAAAAACCCAAUGAAUUACAAUAAAACUUCAGAGCUACUUCACUAUAAUUUACAGUGCAUGUUCCGAGGAUACACUUGGAAUACCCCAACUAUUGGAAGCAAAAAUACAUAAAGUACACUGUUUAAGUACCCAGCAAAAUUCAUCAAUAUCUAAACGGUUUGUUGCUCAAUAUUAUGUUGAUACUGGCAUUUUUUGUUCAAAUAUGCCAGAUGAGGAGCAUGAUAAAGAGUUAAAGACAACAACUGAAGAUGAUCUAUUGAGAUUGUCACAGGAAGAACUCAUUCUAAAUGUGAGUUACACAUUUGUUUCAGAAUAUGUUGAAAGACACUAUAGGAACAUUCUAAAUACAUAAAUAAUAAUAAAAGCUCACAACAAAUAUGCCGCAGGACACAUUUUCUAUCACCGCGCUUCUACAUUCCGAUAUUAUAUUCAUGGUAAAAGCAAAAUUCAAAUACCACAGAGCUACCAAUCUGAGAAAAGCACAACUAUAGAAAACAAAUUGCCCUUUUGCUUGCAGGUACACUCAGGAGAUGGGCCUAUGAACAUGGACGCAGAUGAUAAUUUCCUUUCAAGCAUUUUACUUUCUGAAAUGACAAAAACACAUGGGCCACCCAAAGAAAAUACCCAAAACAAAAUCAAAAUAGUACAAGAAAAGGAAAACACACUUGAUUCAAAUAGAACUUCAAAAGAGAUUUGUCAAACCCUCCUUCAUCACCAGAUAGUUCCUGCAAAAAUAUAUUAAAAAGUCGACAGACUAAAAUUAAAUAAAACAACCUCAAUAACUAAGAACAAUAAAAUAAAGAUAGAUAAGAAGAAAGAAAUAACUGCCGUAGACAUAGGAUAAGAACCAUCUUCCGCACAGUCGUUAGGUACAAUAGGUUCACCCACAGAAUCUGCAUUGUCAAGAGAUGAUACUAACCAAACGUCCAGAUGAGAGACUUUCCGUAGCCUACUCAUUAAACUAAAACAUAUAAACAGAAUACAUGAAGGAGGAAAAGAAAAUAAGUAAAAUAGUAGAACAAAUCUCCAUACACUUCAUUAAAGAAUACACAUGAACAGCUAAUGCAACGCUAUUUACUAGACAAAUCUAGAAAGAACACAAAAACAAUCAUCAACCUAAAACAGGACCUCUGCUCAAUACUACUGCAACGGAGACACACUAGCACAAGAAAAGAAGAAAAUAAAAAAGCAAGAAAAUACAUGAAUUGUAGUCCUAAAAGCAUGCUAAUUACACUGCAAAAUCAGAGGUAAAUCAACUGUGAUCUAUCUGACAAAUACGUUGUAAGCCCUACAACAAUUACAGUGUUGAAGCAUUCAAAUUACAGUGUAAAUCUGCAGUAAAUUACAGUGUAAGCCCUCCAAUUCAAAGGUAAAAUCCACUGUAAUCUACCUCGCAAAUACCUACAACAAAUACAACGUCGAACCAUAUAAAUUAUAGUGUAAAACUAUGGUAUACUACAGUGUAAGCCAUCUACAACUACAUCUACCAAUAAAAAUGCAGGCGGAAUAGACACCCAGGCCAGCAGAAAUAAAAUCGACAGGGGAAUCCACCACUAGAACUACAACUUCGCCUACCUCUACAUCUACAGCAGAGGAAACAAAUCAGCAGGGGUGAAAACGACCACAACGACCAGAUGACCUAGAACACCCGAUGACUAACAGAACAAAUCACCCAUCUCAGGCAAGUAGAAGGGAAGCAAAAUGACGGACUACAACAUGGCCGCAACAUGCACCUGCCACGGAUCCAAACAAGAAACUCAGCCUAGAUUUUCAUGACACAACCACAACACAAGCAAAAUAAUACCGGGGAGGGCGAGAGACAAGAACAACCGGGCGGCAGCCAGGGAUCGAAGAGAAAGGGAAGAGAAAUCAAGAUCGAGCGGUAGAAUAUCUCGGAAUCGACAUGAACAGAAGGAAUUGCCUCCUCUGCUCCGCCUCUCAAACUCUCUCUCUCUCUCUCUCCCCUCGGCAUUAUCUAAACAGAGCCACCAAAUGAAAGAGGAAACGACACCCACUCCCAAAUACAAAAAGGAAAAAAAAUCAAUAGUGCCGGGCCGGGGCGACGGUAACGGGCUGAGACACAAAACCGCGCCCGACAAAAA